Molecule: ribosomal RNA, 292 nt
Filed under: uncultured bacterium
Lineage: Bacteria
Description: partial 16S ribosomal RNA
Rfam family: Bacterial small subunit ribosomal RNA
Source: RNAcentral
GUGCCAGCCGCCGCGGUAAUACGUAGGGUGCGAGCGUUAAUCGGAAUUACUGGGCGUAAAGCGUGCGCAGGCGGUUCGCUAAGACAGGUGUGAAAUCCCCGGGCUUAACCUGGGAAUGGCGCUUGUGACUGGCGGGCUUGAGUACGGCAGAGGGAGGUGGAAUUCCACGUGUAGCAGUGAAAUGCGUAGAUAUGUGGAGGAACACCGAUGGCGAAGGCAGCCUCCUGGGCCAGUACUGACGCUCAUGCACGAAAGCGUGGGGAGCAAACAGGAUUAGAAACCCCCGUAGUCC